This is a non-coding RNA of Schizosaccharomyces pombe (fission yeast), 73 nucleotides long. The record is from Rfam. Lineage: Eukaryota; Fungi; Ascomycota; Schizosaccharomycetes; Schizosaccharomycetales; Schizosaccharomycetaceae.
GCUAAUUUAACUCAAUUGGUAGAGUGCGUACCUUGUAAGUACGAAGUUAGAGGUUCAAUUCCUCUAAUUAGCA